This 301-nucleotide ribosomal RNA is filed under the name uncultured bacterium. Its description in RNAcentral is "partial 16S ribosomal RNA". It matches the Rfam family "Bacterial small subunit ribosomal RNA", at positions 512 to 808 of the family's 1533-position model. The record is from RNAcentral.
CAGUCGCCGGGUAAUACGAAGGGUGCAAGCGUUAAUCGGAAUUACUGGGCGUAAAGCGUGCGUAGGCGGUGAGUUAAGUCUGCUGUGAAAUCCCCGGGCUCAACCUGGGAAUGGCAGUGGAUACUGGCUCGCUAGAGUGUGUCAGAGGAUGGUGGAAUUCCCGGUGUAGCGGUGAAAUGCGUAGAGAUCUGGAGGAAUACCGGUGGCGAAGGCGGCCCCCUGGACAAAGACUGACGCUCAGGUGCGAAAGCGUGGGGAGCAAACAGGAUUAGAUACCCCGGUAGUCCCUGUCUCUUAUACC